RNAcentral lists this ribosomal RNA (253 nucleotides) under uncultured Coprococcus sp. RNAcentral's name for it is "partial 16S ribosomal RNA". It matches the Rfam family "Bacterial small subunit ribosomal RNA", at positions 524 to 776 of the family's 1533-position model. The record is from RNAcentral. Lineage: Bacteria; Bacillati; Bacillota; Clostridia; Lachnospirales; Lachnospiraceae.
UACGUAGGGGGCAAGCGUUAUCCGGAUUUACUGGGUGUAAAGGGAGCGUAGACGGUGAUGCAAGUCAGAAGUGAAAGCCCGCAGCUCAACUGCGGGACUGCUUUUGGAACUAUCUAGCUAGAUUGCAGGAGAGGUAAGUGGAAUUCCUAGUGUAGCGGUGAAAUGCGUAGAUAUUAGGAAGAACACCAGUGGCGAAGGCGGCUUUCUGGACUGAAACUGACGCUGAGGCACGAAAGCGUGGGGAGCGAACAGG